UUUAAACCCUAAAUAUGAAUUAAUAAUACAAUUCUUGUGUUA
RNAcentral lists this transfer RNA (42 nucleotides) under Gastrostomobdella extenta. Its description in RNAcentral is "partial tRNA-Leu". Lineage: Eukaryota; Metazoa; Annelida; Clitellata; Hirudinida; Gastrostomobdellidae. The record is from RNAcentral.